CCAAGUCGGUUGGUCUCUGACCCGCUUCGUUUCUCUUUCUUACCACAAGAUAUAAAACUCUGGAAACAAAAAUUUCGGGGUCCAAUUGCGGCCAUUUCUGCUAUACAGAAAACAGAAAUCUGAGAUUGAGAGAGAGAGAGAGAGAGAGGCUGUAUUAUGUAUGAAAACGUUUGAGUCAUCUUCACUGGUGGAAGAGUCGACCAUGGACGACACCACCACUUCAUCUAAACCAAAACUAGAACUCAACUCUCUCUCCAAAAGCAACAACAAGAAGCCCCUCCCUGGAGGAUCGAACAACUGCGAGGAUGGAGGAGGAGAUGAUGAAGAUGACAUUGAGGAGGAAGAGUGUGACAAGGAGGUUUGGAAUACGCUUUGCAAGAGUUUCAGGCAGGUGCAGUCCGUGUUGGAUCAGAACAGGGACCUUAUUCAUCAAGUGAACGAGAAUCACCAGUCCAGGAUUCCCGAUAAUAUGGCGAAGAACGUUCCAUUGAUUCGAGAGAUUAAUCGAAAUAUCUCGAAAGUCAUCUCUAUUUACUCCGAUUUAUCGGUCAAUUUCUCCAACGUCGUGCAGGAACGGCGUCGCAUCAAUAACGGAAGCAGUGUGGAGAGGACGGACUGUUGAUUCGAUCGAUGAAUUUAAGUAAUCUCGACCAACUUUGUUUAUCUUAUAGUCAAUUAAUAAGCAGUUUAACUGAGGUCGUGUCAUGGUCAUAUUGGAGUCAAAGGUGUUUGGUUUUAUUGAGUCUCUGUUUCCUAGGUCCUUCUUAAGUAAGGCAGUCUUUCAGGUGGUAGCGGUGGCCGCUGGGGUUGAUAACAAUAAUGUUUUGCUUAUGUGGUGAUUAUUGUUAUGUUUGUUUGUGUUUUGUAAGGAUCAUUUCAUGGCUGCGGGUCUGCUUAUAUCUCCAUUAUCUGAAACCCCCGCAGAAGUAAUAAGAACUUUCAACAUAGGCCUGAUGAGACAUUUGAGUUGAAUGGUUCUAUAUUGUUGUUAUUUAGGCUGCUCUAUUUCAUCCUAAACAGGGGAGUUCAUAGUUCAUAUGAGUAAAUGCAGAAUUGUAUUCACUGCCAGAGGCUUAGUUCAUUUGUAUGUAAUGCCGGUAGAAGAGUAGAAAGAGAGGGACGCCACAACUAUUAUAUACAGUCAACUGUAGAUUGGCAGUCCAUUAUACUAGCAUGAGCCAACUCUAAUCUCCUAGUCUUGCUGUCGUUGGACUACUGCAGUAACGCAAAUGGCAGUAGCAAAUCCACUUGUUAGAUUAUAUUACCUUUCAUGACUCUGAUGGGUGAUAAUUGCCCCUGACAAAUGUAGUGAGGCAGAAUGAAUUUAUCAUUUGAGCAUCUUUAAGUAGGCCUUCUUUGGCAAGCUUGAGAGUGCCCGCUGUUUGUUUUACAAAAGUUGGGCAGGGUGAAUUAACUAUAUUUCUAGGUGAAACUUGUUGUAGAAUCAAUGGGGUUUGGGGAAGGAAAGCAGUUGCUAUUGAUACGGGGCAGAGCUGGACUAGGAGAGGAAAAUAAUGGUGAUAGCUAGUUAUUGAUUCAAGGUGAAUUAGUGGCUGGUGAAGGGAGGAAAUAAUUGUUAUAUAAGUGGAAAAAUAAGCUUAAUAGUCCUAACAUUAUUCUAAUGUUUUUUUUUGGGCAAUGAAGACUGGCUGACAUCUGGUGGUGAGGGGGGAUAGGGUUAUCGUUGCCUGGCAUGAAUUUUUUUUCUUUCUUUCUUUGAACUUGCCAUUAGCUUUGAAAUUGAGACCCAUAUAUGUUGUGGGUUCCACCAACUGUUCAAGACAACUACUUUACUAGAUGAGGAAGGCACUCAUAUAUCAUCCUUCAAAGACAUUUCUGCAGUUUCUUAUGACUAUCUUCUUAUUGUAAUCUUAAAUUCUGCUUUAAAUGAAACAUUAACUACUUGAUUUAUUUGCAAGAAGGAUAUUUUGCUGGAUAAUGUUGAGCAAUGAUGUCGUCCUUUCCUCCUGUCAAUUGAAUUAGUCUGCUUCCUAUUUGGAGGUUAAUCUUUGUUAGGAUGUCGAUUUGACUACCUGAGUUCUAGCUGCUUCUUUCUUCCCAGUCCUUUGAAAAAUGAACAAUUUGGAAACACAGGUAGAAGACAAAAAGGAUAACUGAAUGACAACUUCUAAUUGUUUUAUGUUAGCUGAUUAUGCAAAAGUAGUGCGAUUUUGUUUUUUAGUGAGAGAAGCAGAGUAUCACACAUUCGAUCUUUGACUGGAAAUCUCAACAGAGUUAAUAUAAUGUUGAUGUCAAGUGUCUGCAUCUGUGUUGUUAUGUAUGGAUUUCUCGCCGAUUUCAUUUUUAAAGCAAUCAAGUGUUAGCAUAUUCAAGUGAUGACGACUCUUGUGAGCUUUGCACUUAAGGGGAAUGAAUUGGGGUGAAGCUAUAGUUGACGGUUGCGGAUAAAAAGGCAAAUUAUUUUUGAGAAUGUUUCUUUUCAGGCUCUCACCAACUUUGACUUUCCAUGUUAUGUUGCUUCUUUCGGUUUCUGGCUUUUGGAAUAAGAGUAAGGAAGGAAAUACGAGCAGUGUUUCAAGCUUUUUCUAUCUGUUGUUUGGUUUAAAUAGGUUAGGAUUGAAAUUUCAGAAAUGCCAUACGUUUAUGCUUUUAGUUUUUUUAUCUUAUCUACGAAAAUAUUAAAUAAAAAUUCUCGCUUAUACUUA
Jatropha curcas is the source of this 2666-nucleotide RNA transcript. It is a transcript of the gene named protein ELF4-LIKE 1, with no coding region annotated. The record is from RefSeq and is a predicted model, not a curated record. Lineage: Eukaryota; Viridiplantae; Streptophyta; Magnoliopsida; Malpighiales; Euphorbiaceae.